GUGAGUGUAGCCAAAUGGUAAGGCAAAAGACUGUGACUCUUUCAUUCGCGGGUUCGAUUCCCGUCAUUCACC
Molecule: transfer RNA, 72 nt
Filed under: Euglenaformis proxima
Lineage: Eukaryota; Euglenozoa; Euglenophyceae; Euglenales; Euglenaceae
Description: tRNA-His
Rfam family: tRNA
About the family: Transfer RNA (tRNA) molecules are approximately 80 nucleotides in length. Their secondary structure includes four short double-helical elements and three loops (D, anti-codon, and T loops).
Source: RNAcentral